Molecule: non-coding RNA, 357 nt
Organism: Misgurnus anguillicaudatus (oriental weatherfish)
Lineage: Eukaryota; Metazoa; Chordata; Actinopteri; Cypriniformes; Cobitidae
Source: RefSeq, a predicted model, not a curated record
CCAGCUAAGCCAUAACGACACUAUUAACUUAAAUUUAGUGACAAACGAGUUGCUUUCUCGUCAUUCGAUAUGGAAAGACAGACCGCGAGCACAAGUUAACUUUACCGGCGGCGGAGAAUCGCGGAGCCGGCGUCUACACUGUCAGUGAGAGGCAGGGACAAGCAGCACUCAAUUCACCGUCGAUACGGCAGAGUGUGCAGAGUUUUUACGUCCAUCCAUUGAUGAGGCUAGCAAGACCUUCAUACAACUUCAUCCAAUUGCAACAAAUGUGGUGGAAUUUCUUCUCUGGACAGAAUCCUCGAAACCCUUUCCUUUCAUCCUGGCCAUGGGAAACAUGCAGCAGAUCUCUCAAUCUUU